Non-coding RNA from Peromyscus maniculatus bairdii (prairie deer mouse), 1195 nucleotides. NCBI's taxonomy places the organism in Eukaryota, Metazoa, Chordata, Mammalia, Rodentia, Cricetidae. The record is from RefSeq and is a predicted model, not a curated record.
UCUUGGUCAAAACUAUUUAUUUAUAAACAAUGUCUUUAUCCUUCCCUGGGAACUUUGUAAAAACUGCUUCUUGUUAUUUUCUGAGUUGAAAAAAAGUAGAUUGAAUACUAAGCCAGGUCAUGUUGCCUGGAGAAAGGGGCAUCUGUGUGUGUGUGUCGUGUGGUCUGUGUCUAUGUCUGUAUGUGUAUGUGUAUGUAUGUGUAUGCAUGUGUAUGUGUGUCUCCCCUUAAGAGUCAUAUUCCUCUAGUUUUAACUUUGCAACCAGUUCCUUCGGGCAAGUUAUAACUGUUCAUCAUCUCAUUUCCCUAUUAUUCAAAUGAAGACGAUCUUGCUUGCCUUGCACUCUUGCUUCACAGAAUGACAAGGAGACUCUAAAGAGAUAAUAGCUGUGAACAGAUUUCGAAGUUGCAAGUGCUGGGCAAACGCAAUGGUUGCUGUGAGAAGGGACCUGCUCAGUGUCUCCAUUAAAGGAAGAAGAGGCUGAGGAAACAACCUGUCCAAGGCCACAAGACUAGUAACUAGUAAAUCCUCGAUUUCUGCUGAAAGAUUUAAGCUUGGAACUAUCUUGGAUGACGAAUAUGAAUUUAAAAAAAAAUCAUCGUUCUGUCUUUGAUCUGGAUGAAGGUGCCUCACCAACAGGUAGAAAGCAGAACUACAAGCCCCUAUGAAUGGCUGCUCCCUGAAGACAUUCUACUUUGGGAAAAGCAGCUGUUGUCUAGUUGUAUCAUGAGGACACCAAGAGAACUCUAGGGGUCCUUGUGGAAAGAAUUGAGCCCCCACCUCAGGCAGCAUUAAUUUGCAACCAUGCAGAAUCAUGGGCAGAGGAUCAGUUACUUAACAAUUGAGAACUCUCCAGAGAGGAACCUGGAAGGAACAGCCACAUUAGAAAAGAUUGAAAGUGGUAAAGGGUGGUCAACCUCACAAGCUGCCUGCUGGAGUCCAGCCAGCCAUCAAAAGCUUUGUGGUAGACAGUGAAUCACAAGCUGCAUGUGGAGUUCCAAACAUCACCUGCCAUGUGUGAAGGUUUUGGCUGUCAUUUCCAGCUGUGUGGACCAUGGAUAAAACCUCAGGCCUCAAAUACACUAGGCAAGUGUUAUCUCCCCAAGUCUAUAGCCCAAGAGCAAAUACAAAAUUGGAAUAGUAUAUCCCUAUAACUCUACUUCCUGUAUUUUCAUUAAAAAUGAAAAAUGCCUUA